GCAAACAUGUAGCAGGCAACCCGCAGCAUCUGUGGGAGGGUGACAGGGCCCUGCCACAAUUGGUCAAUGCCUGCUCGCCAAGAAUGAGCUAUGCCAAAACCCCUGCUUAGAGUCGCAGAGCGGGCCAUGACCUAAAAUUGUCCAGGGACACAUCGGCCUCUAACACUGCAAGAUUUCCUCUUUCAAGCAAACCUCAAUUCUCGGUCUUAUUAAGGGAAUGUGACUUCACUGGACGCAGUAUAAAGAUCUUCAGAUGUCCUCCUGCCGGGGAUUGCAGGGAUCACAGAAAGACCAUCGAGGUCCAGGAGCUACCUGCAAGCGGAGAUCCCUCUGGACGCCCCGUGCCUCACCCAGCAAAGCCGGCUCACAACCCUGCGCUCUCAAACCUCUAAAAGGGCUUGAGGUGCCAAUAGGAAAGGAGGCCCGAGAUUGCCACGGCAUACGUGGGCCCCAAGGAGGGAGCCAGGAGUCACUGCCUGCUUGGGCUAAGGGUACCGCGUACGGAAAGGCGGCGGGGACGCGGCCCAGUUCCAGGAGAUGCGCCCAACGAAGAAGCGGAGGAACAGGGUCACGGGAUAGGGCAGACACCCGGCUGCUUUUUGUUUGCUAGACACCAGCGCCAGCCCCUGCCCGGCCCUCCCGGUCUCCUAAGGGUUGGGGGGGUGUCUUAGGCUCCACAGCGCCCCCGACCGCCCUCCUGCACUCCUCACCGUCUCCAUUGCAAGAGGCGCCCGGCUUGGUUUCCUCGCUUUAGGAAACUCUCUUGGGGCAGGCCCCGCCCCACAUCCGGUGCGGCGACGCCACUUCCGCCCACGUCAUGGCAGUCGCCAGACUGGGGCGGAAGGCAAGGAACCCACCCUUCCGGCGGUGGCGGGCCUCGGUAACCGCCCUCCCCCGGGUCCUCGCGGACCGCACGGAUCCGGCUGACGGCGAGGGUCAUGGGACGGAGCCGCUUGUAUUUAAAAUGUUCUUUUUUUAUUUGUCGUUUAAAAACAAACUUGGAAGAAGCAAAAUCCAAAACUUGCCCUUUGCCUCUCGCAACAUAAAUAUGUACAGUUCAGAAUGAUCGCUGAUACAAAACAUGCCAAGGACAGGGGCGCUGAGGGUGGAGGGAGAGAGGGCGCUUUAAAAAAGGGAACCAUUUCAUCCGUUGUUACGAAGGACCAACCUUGCUGUACAGGAUACACACAACACAAAAUAAAGUCUUCACGGGAUU
This 1216-nucleotide long non-coding RNA is filed under the name Homo sapiens (human). RNAcentral describes it as "HSALNT0368005". Lineage: Eukaryota; Metazoa; Chordata; Mammalia; Primates; Hominidae. The record is from RNAcentral.